GUCAACUGUCCCAUGUGCUUCUGUGUAUGUUUACCUGUCCUGUGACCUGUGACCUAUGUAAAGUACCUGUUGGUCAUGUGACUGCCACCUCAACUGUAUCCCUCACCUGCAUGCUUUCUACCUCUGUGUGCAAGAAACUGGCAGCCAUGCUGGGUGUAACAUUUUGAUACCAGGAUUUAGAAGAGAACCAGGUGUGAAAUGGAAUUCUAGUAGACCUGUGUAGUGACCUGUGUAGUGCACAAGCACGGAGCUAGCCCCUGUCGGAAUGAUAGAGGUGUUUUCUACGUUACGUCUUGUUUGUGCUACGGUUGCUGUUGUUUUAAAUAAAUGGUGGAAACAAAGUCCGUCGUAGUCUGUGAUGAUUCCCCAGAUGGGAGAUAAACC
Molecule: long non-coding RNA, 384 nt
Organism: Mizuhopecten yessoensis (Yesso scallop)
Lineage: Eukaryota; Metazoa; Mollusca; Bivalvia; Pectinida; Pectinidae
Exons: 3
Source: RefSeq, a predicted model, not a curated record